GGGCCCGCACAAGCGGUGGAGCAUGUGGUUUAAUUCGAUGAUACGCGAGGAACCUUACCAGGGCUUAAAUGUAGUGGGACAGGUCUAGAGAUAGACCCUUCUUCGGACUCAUUACAAGGUGCUGCAUGGUUGUCGUCAGCUCGUGCCGUGAGGUGUCAGGUUAAGUCCUGCAACGAGCGCAACCCCUAUUCUUAGUUGCCAGCGGUUCGGCCGGGGACUCUAAGAAGACUGCCAGCGCAAGCUGAGAGGAAGGUGGGGAUGACGUCAAAUCAUCACGGCCCUUACGUCCUGGCUACACACGUGCUACAAUGGCCGGUACAGAGGGCAGCCACACCGCAAGGUGGAGCG
Molecule: ribosomal RNA, 348 nt
Filed under: uncultured bacterium
Lineage: Bacteria
Description: bacterial SSU rRNA
Rfam family: Bacterial small subunit ribosomal RNA
Source: RNAcentral